RNAcentral lists this ribosomal RNA (492 nucleotides) under uncultured bacterium. Its description in RNAcentral is "partial 16S ribosomal RNA". It matches the Rfam family "Bacterial small subunit ribosomal RNA", at positions 29 to 507 of the family's 1533-position model. The record is from RNAcentral.
AUUGAACGCUGGCGGCAUGCUUUACACAUGCAAGUCGAACGGUAACAGGCCUUCGGGUGCUGACGAGUGGCGAACGGGUGCGUAAUGCAUCGGAACGUACCCAGAGGUGGGGGAUAACGCAGCGAAAGCUGUGCUAAUACCGCAUGUGAUCUGAGGAUGAAAGCGGGGGACCGAGCAGCAAUGUUUGGCCUCGCGCCUUUGGAGCGGCCGAUGACGGAUUAGCUAGUUGGUGGGGUAAAGGCCUACCAAGGCGACGAUCCGUAGCUGGUCUGAGAGGACGACCAGCAACACUGGGACUGAGACACGGCCCAGACUCCUACGGGAGGCAGCAGUGGGGAAUUUUGGACAAUGGGCGCAAGCCUGAUCCAGCAAUGCCGCGUGCGGGAAGAAGGCCUUCGGGUUGUAAACCGCUUUUGGCAGGAACGAAACGGUGUCCGCUAAUACCGGGCGCUAAUGACGGUACCUGCAGAAUAAGCACCGGCUAACUACGUG